This 750-nucleotide long non-coding RNA is filed under the name Mytilus galloprovincialis (Mediterranean mussel). Lineage: Eukaryota; Metazoa; Mollusca; Bivalvia; Mytilida; Mytilidae. The record is from RNAcentral.
AUAUAUCGCUUUUAAAAAUUGUAUUAUACAAAUUCAUAAUACUUGAUAAUAAAUGAAAUCAUAAGUAACUUUUAUAAAAGCAUAUACAAAACUUUUAUCAUAAAGGACAGUUUACAACAAAAACUGAAUAUAGCAAAUAAUGUGAUGGUAUAACUUAUCUUCUAAUGAAAACCUUAUAAACUAAAUGUUCACAGUUCUUAAGAUGCUUCAAGAUUAAAUUACACAAAUAAACAAUCUAUUUAAGCUGAAACUCUCCAACUGCUAAACCAAAUUUUGUAUAAUUUCUUCUUAUUGCAACUUGAAUGUUUUAGUUUCUUUCUCAAUUAUGUUGUUAAAUAUAUUACUGAUCAUAAUUAAGGUAAUUCCGUACAAAAAAAUAAAUGAAAAUUUGUGCCAUUAAUAACAGUUAUGGUCAUUUUUCAAAAACAUUAAACAUAAAAAAAACCACUUAUUUUAUCUUGAAAGUAUAAAUGAAUUCUUUAAAAAGCAAUGUUCUGAAAAGAGAAGCAACAAAAACAAGACACAAAAUGACUGAUCCCUUUAUCUUAAACAUACUUUACAUAAUAAAUAAUUUCAACAACCGUCGAUAUUUCCUCACAAUUUAUAUUACUUUCCCUACAUACAUUCUUCUUUUACAACUAUAAAACUGAAAUAUGACAUUUGUUAAUUGUUUUGUGACAUAAAAUAUCUAUAAACAAGAGCUGCGGCUAAUGCAACACCAAAUGGAAUCAGCCAGCCAGUCAAGGAACU